UAGGGAAUCUUCCGCAAUGGGCGAAAGCCUGACGGAGCAACGCCGCGUGAGUGAAGAAGGAUUUCGGUUCGUAAAGCUCUGUUGUUAGGGAAGAAUGAUUGUGUAGUAACUAUACACAGUAGAGACGGUACCUAACCAGAAAGCCACGGCUAACUACGUGCCAGCAGCCGCGGUAAUACGUAGGUGGCAAGCGUUGUCCGGAAUUAUUGGGCGUAAAGCGCGCGCAGGUGGUUUAAUAAGUCUGAUGUGAAAGCCCACGGCUCAACCGUGGAGGGUCAUUGGAAACUGUUAAACUUGAGUGCAGGAGAGAAAAGUGGAAUUCCUAGUGUAGCGGUGAAAUGCGUAGAGAUUAGGAGGAACACCAGUGGCGAAGGCGGCUUUUUGGCCUGUAACUGACACUGAGGCGCGAAAGCGUGGGGAGCAAACAGGAUUAGAUACCCUGGUAGUCCACACCGUAAACGAUGAGUGCUAAGUGUUGGUCUCAUAAGAGAUCAGUGCUGCAGCUAACGCAUUAAGCACUCCGCCUGGGGAGUACGACCGCAAGGUUG
RNAcentral lists this ribosomal RNA (548 nucleotides) under uncultured bacterium. RNAcentral describes it as "bacterial SSU rRNA". It matches the Rfam family "Bacterial small subunit ribosomal RNA", at positions 355 to 896 of the family's 1533-position model. The record is from RNAcentral.